UACGAAGGGUGCAAGCGUUACUCGGAAUUACUGGGCGUAAAGCGUGCGUAGGCGGUUUGUUAAGUCUGUCGUGAAAGCCCCGGGCUCAACCUGGGAAUGGCGGUGGAUACUGGCAGGCUAGAGUACGGUAGAGGAUGGUGGAAUUCCCGGUGUAGCAGUGAAAUGCGUAGAGAUCGGGAGGAACAUCUAUGGCGAAGGCAGCCAUCUGGACCAGUACUGACGCUGAGGCACGAAAGCGUGGGGAGCAAACAGGAUUAGAUACCCUGGUAGUCCACGCCCUAAACGAUGCGAACUGGACGUUGGGCUCAAUUGAGAGCUCAGUGUCGAAGCUAACGCGUUAAGUUCGCCGCCUGGGGAGUACGGUCGCAAGACUGAA
Molecule: ribosomal RNA, 376 nt
Filed under: uncultured bacterium
Lineage: Bacteria
Description: bacterial SSU rRNA
Rfam family: Bacterial small subunit ribosomal RNA
Source: RNAcentral